This 345-nucleotide unclassified non-coding RNA is filed under the name soil metagenome. RNAcentral describes it as "partial contains 5.8S ribosomal RNA, internal transcribed spacer 2, and large subunit ribosomal RNA". The stretch from base 1 to 119 matches the Rfam family "5.8S ribosomal RNA", at positions 35 to 154 of the family's 154-position model. The record is from RNAcentral.
GAUGAAGAACGUAGCGAAAUGCGAUACGUAAUGUGAAUUGCAAAUUCAGUGAAUCAUCGAGUCUUUGAACGCACAUUGCGCCCCCUGGUAUUCCGGGGGGCAUGCCUGUCCGAGCGUCAUUGCUGCCCUCAAGCACGGCUUGUGUGUUGGGCCCCGUCCUCCGAUUCCGGGGGACGGGCCCGAAAGGCAGCGGCGGCACCGCGUCCGGUCCUCGAGCGUAUGGGGCUUUGUCACCCGCUCUGUAGGCCCGGCCGGCGCUUGCCGAUCAACCCAAAUUUUUAUCCAGGUUGACCUCGGAUCAGGUAGGGAUACCCGCUGAACUUGAGCAUAUCAAUAAGCGGAGGA